GACGAUAGCUCAGUAGGUUAGAGCGGCGACGCGAGUCGCAGGUCGCCGGUUCGAGUCCGGCUCGUCUCCA
This 70-nucleotide transfer RNA is filed under the name Lysobacter sp. BMK333-48F3. RNAcentral describes it as "tRNA-OTHER". It matches the Rfam family "tRNA". From Rfam's summary of the family: Transfer RNA (tRNA) molecules are approximately 80 nucleotides in length. Their secondary structure includes four short double-helical elements and three loops (D, anti-codon, and T loops). Further hydrogen bonds mediate the characteristic L-shaped molecular structure. tRNAs have two regions of fundamental functional importance: the anti-codon, which is responsible for specific mRNA codon recognition, and the 3' end, to which the tRNAs corresponding amino acid is attached (by aminoacyl-tRNA synthetases). tRNAs cope with the degeneracy of the genetic code in two manners: having more than one tRNA (with a specific anti-codon) for a particular amino acid; and 'wobble' base-pairing, i.e. permitting non-standard base-pairing at the 3rd anti-codon position. The record is from RNAcentral. Lineage: Bacteria; Pseudomonadati; Pseudomonadota; Gammaproteobacteria; Lysobacterales; Lysobacteraceae.